RNAcentral lists this ribosomal RNA (253 nucleotides) under uncultured prokaryote. RNAcentral describes it as "partial 16S ribosomal RNA". It matches the Rfam family "Bacterial small subunit ribosomal RNA", at positions 525 to 777 of the family's 1533-position model. The record is from RNAcentral.
ACGAAGGUGGCAAGCGUUGUUCGGAUUCACUGGGCGUACAGGGAGCGUAGGCGGUUGGGUAAGCCCUCCGUGAAAUCUCCGGGCCUAACCCGGAAAGUGCAGAGGGGACUGCUUGGCUAGAGGAUGGGAGAGGAGCGCGGAAUUCCCGGUGUAGCGGUGAAAUGCGUAGAGAUCGGGAGGAAGGCCGGUGGCGAAGGCGGCGCUCUGGAACGUACCUGACGCUGAGACACGAAAGCGUGGGGAGCAAACAGGA